GGAUGAUCUACCUUCUGGUGAGGAAUAACCCUGGGAAACCGGGGCUAAUACCGCAUAAGCUCGAGAGAGGAAAGCAGCAAUGCGCCGGAAGAGGAGUCCGCGGCCGAUUAGCUAGUUGGCAGGGUAAAAGCCUACCAAGGCGAAGAUCGGUAGCCGGCCUGAGAGGGCACACGGCCACACUGGCACUGAAACACGGGCCAGACUCCUACGGGAGGCAGCAGUGGGGAAUCUUGCACAAUGGGGGAAACCCUGAUGCAGCGACGCCGCGUGAGCGAUGAAGCCCUUCGGGGUGUAAAGCUCUUUCGGCAGGGAAGAUGAUGACGGUACCUGCAGAAGCAGCUGCGGCUAACUACGUGCCAGCAGCCGCGGUAAUACGUAGGCAGCAAGCGUUGUUCGGAGUUACUGGGCGUAAAGGGUGUGUAGGCGGUUGCUUAAGUUUGGUGUGAAAUCUCCCGGCUCAACUGGGAGGGUGCGCCGAAUACUGAGUGACUCGAGUGCGGGAGAGGAGAGUGGAAUUCCUGGUGUAGCGGUGAAAUGCGUAGAUAUCAGGAGGAACACCGGUGGUGUAGACGGCUCUCUGGACCGUAACUGACGCUGAUACACGAAAGCGUGGGUAGCAAACAGGAUUAGAUACCCUGGUAGUCCACGCCCUAAACGAUGCAUAUUUGGUGUGGGCCGUUCAGUCGGUCCGUGCCGGAGCUAACGCGUUAAAUAUGCCGCCUGGGGAGUACAGUCGCAAGGCUGAAACUCA
This 751-nucleotide ribosomal RNA is filed under the name uncultured Acidobacteriota bacterium. RNAcentral describes it as "bacterial SSU rRNA". It matches the Rfam family "Bacterial small subunit ribosomal RNA", at positions 119 to 903 of the family's 1533-position model. The record is from RNAcentral. Lineage: Bacteria; Pseudomonadati; Acidobacteriota.